AAAAAUGAAAUCAAUUAUUGAUAUUUCACUUACAAUGAAAAUUUGUUAGCCAACCAUUUUUU
RNAcentral lists this transfer RNA (62 nucleotides) under Haemaphysalis inermis. Its description in RNAcentral is "tRNA-Val". The record is from RNAcentral. Lineage: Eukaryota; Metazoa; Arthropoda; Arachnida; Ixodida; Ixodidae.